RNAcentral lists this ribosomal RNA (253 nucleotides) under uncultured bacterium. RNAcentral's name for it is "partial 16S ribosomal RNA". It matches the Rfam family "Bacterial small subunit ribosomal RNA", at positions 524 to 776 of the family's 1533-position model. The record is from RNAcentral.
UACGUAGGGAGCAAGCGUUGUUCGGAUUUACUGGGCGUAACGGGCGCGUAGGCGGCGCGGUAAGUCACUUGUGAAAUCUCUGAGCUUAACUCAGAACGGCCAAGUGAUACUGCAGUGCUAGAGUGCAGAAGGGGCAAUCGGAAUUCUUGGUGUAGCGGUGAAAUGCGUAGAUAUCUGGAGGAACACCGGUGGCGAAGGCGGCGUUCUGGACUGCUACUGACACUGAGGAACGAAAGCCAGGGGAGCAAACGGG